RNAcentral lists this long non-coding RNA (406 nucleotides) under Coturnix japonica (Japanese quail). Its description in RNAcentral is "lncRNA (ENSCJPG00005012455.1)". Lineage: Eukaryota; Metazoa; Chordata; Aves; Galliformes; Phasianidae. The record is from RNAcentral.
CUCUGAAGAAGACCUCAGUUCUCUUUCUGCUCAGUUUUCACUACAGUUCGUCUCCCUCAUCUGUAAGCAGCUCCUCUGGGAAGUCAAAACAAGCAUCCUCUGCAGCAUAGGACCUUCAUUUUGUGAAGAUCCUUAAAGACUCAUCUGUUGAUCUGGCUACAUUAUCCAGUCAGAAGAUUCCUUCCAAUCAUGAACUGGUGGUAGAGAGCAAAGGAAGUCUUCUAAAUUCAGCAGCAUGGCCUGAGGGCAGAUAUUCCUACUGUCAAAAACUGCCGCUUCUGUUGCUCUGCAGGUGCCACAGUGGACACAGCUUUCAACCCAGAGAUUAAAAUGAGUGUACCUGAACAUGAUAUUCAGACUGAUUACAAAAGAUCUCAUGGGUGGAACCAAGUGCCAUGAGUUGUGC